RNAcentral lists this ribosomal RNA (440 nucleotides) under uncultured bacterium. Its description in RNAcentral is "bacterial SSU rRNA". It matches the Rfam family "Bacterial small subunit ribosomal RNA", at positions 338 to 771 of the family's 1533-position model. The record is from RNAcentral.
CCUACGGGAGGCAGCAGCUAGGAAUCUUUCACAAUGGGCGAAAGCCUGAUGGAGCAACGCCGCGUGGGGGAUGAAGGUCUUCGGAUUGUAAACCCCUGUCACCAAGGAUAAACCGUAACUGGCUAAUACCCAGUUGCCUGAUGUAACUUGGAGAGGAAGAGGUGGCUAACUCUGUGCCAGCAGCCGCGGUAAUACAGAGACCUCAAGCGUUAUUCGGAUUUACUGGGCGUAAAGGGUGCGCAGGCGGCCAAGUGUGUCGGAGGUGAAAUCUUGCAGCUUAACUGUAAAAUUGCCUACGAAACUACUUGGCUAGAGUAUCGGAGAGGAUAGCGGAAUUCCAGGUGUAGCAGUGAAAUGCGUAGAUAUCUGGAGUAACACCAAUGGCGAAGGCAGCUAUCUGGACGAUUACUGACGCUCAGGCACGAAAGCAUGGGGAGCGA